Molecule: long non-coding RNA, 576 nt
Organism: Triticum dicoccoides
Lineage: Eukaryota; Viridiplantae; Streptophyta; Magnoliopsida; Poales; Poaceae
Exons: 3
Source: RefSeq, a predicted model, not a curated record
CAUUCUCAGUGCUCAUCCACCCCCAUCUGCAAUCUCAUCCUCUCCGCCAUGUCUGCCUCGUCAUCAACUUCUCUCCCCGUCCCACGGGAUUGGCCCCUCCCUCUCAUGCCUUGCCCAUUCUGCGGGGACCAGGUCGUCACGAACGUAGCGAGAUCUGGUCAGCAGGCAGGGGAUCGGUUCUACAAAUGCGUGUUGUACGAUCUGGAGUAUCUCUUUCCUUUUUCGUCUAGCUUCCUUCCUUGCUGCUCUGAUAAUAUCUAAUUGACUAUCAUUAGAUUCUACUGUCGCAAGCUGUGAGGUUCCUUGCUUAGGUACCACAUUGUUUUGAAGGAUGUUGUCUGGAUCAAUCAGUUUCCUGGAAAUAUUCCUGUUCUCCUACUGAUAGUAUGCCAACAAAGAAUUUUAGAUCAUGUACAUGUGUUAUUACCUUUUAAGCAAAGGACAUACUAUAUGGUUUGUAAUUGGCAAACUAAUUUUGAUGUUUGUUCAUCAAUUUCUCUGUAGUUGCAAUUAACAAAACAUAUGUGAUGAGAUUACGGAGUUGAUGCAUAUAAUAGUGGAAGUUGGUAAUGAAUA